GUUGCUUCACCGCCCAACAUUAUAUGCCAUACAGGGUCUCCAUCUAAUUCUCCGUUCUCUUGCAAGAUAGAUCCUAGGAAGCGAAAACGGUCGCUCUUUGGUAUUUCCGUGUCUCCGAUCCUCACCCCUAACUCAUUUUGGCCUCCAUUUGCACUGAACUUGCACUCCAUAUAUUCUGUCUUUGAUCGGCUUAGGCGAAGACCUGUAGAUUCCAACACUUCUCUCCAAAGGUUAAGCUUCGCAUUUACCCCAUCCUAAGUUUCAUCUAUCAACGUUAUAUCGUCUGCGAAGGCAUACACCAAGGAAUAUCAUCUUGAAUAUAUCAUGUUAACUCAUCCAUUACCAAUGCAAAAAGGUAAGGAUUUAAGGAUUGUUGAUGCACAAAAUCAGUGAGGACUUUGGUACAACAGAAAGUAUUUAAGUUUGUGACCUUCGCUAGAUUGCUCUGGUCAUUAGUGUGGAUAAGUAUGUAAAAGGAUAGAGACAGGAAAGCAAAACACAAAAUGUACGUGGUUCACCCAGAUUGACUACGUCCACGGAGUAGAGGAGUUCUCAUUAAUUGUGAAAGGUUUACACAUAGGUUCAAGCUCUCCUUUAGUGAGAACAAGUGAAUGAUUUAGUACAAAUGAUCUUCUCUGAGAGUACUCUUCCUCCAUCCAGGGGUGGUAUCUUUAAUCGGUGGAGAUGCACAAGGUAAUGUAUCAAUUUCACUUGAAGCUUAUUUGUAGUUUCAGGCUUGGUCAAGCGCGAUACAAACCAUGUAGUAGGAGUCCCCCAAGUAGCCGAGCUAGGAGAUCUGCUGAAAGAGGUGGCAGACAAGGUAAGCAAUCAGAGCUCCAAGCAAUCAGUCUCAGAUCAAAAGUUUGAUUUCGAGUUCCGACUGAUUGUUCUCAUUCUCCCUAUCUUGCCGGCAGCAUGAAGGAUAAAGAGAAGAAAAAGGAGGAGAUAUGAUAUGAGAUACUUUUGCUUUUGAAGAAGUAACUUUCCACAGGCUUAUUCUUGAACUGGGUUGGAGGGUUUGCUGGUUUCCUCCACACUGAAGAAUUUGAGGGUCAAAACAGGUCCAUCAAAUUUAGAGUACGUUCGACCCUGAUGAUAUGGGAUAUUUUUGCUGUUACGCUUAUCUCCACAUGUUUCCUUGUAUCCUUCUCACUUGCCCUAUCUGUUCCUCAGGCAGAUGUGGUAUCUUCUCUACAGGCAUAAGAUGUUGAAAAUGAGUACUCGAGAGCAAUGCCAGGUAAGUAAUCAGGUAAGGGGUUCCAGGCAGUCAGUUUCUGACCAAAAGCUUGAUUCCAAGUGCUGACUGAUUGCUCUCUUUCUCCUUGUCUUGCAGGUAAGAACAAGGCCAAAGGAAAAGACAGGGAAAAAACAUGAUAUGGGAUACUCUUGGUUUUAACCCUGAUGAUAUGAGAUAUUCUUGCUCUGGUGUAGCUUGUUUGCAAAGGUAUUAUCGGGGAGAAAGAAGGCUGAGUAUUUCGAGAGGCUUCGUUAGGAGUGCCCUCUCAGAUAUGAGGAAGGGUUGAGCAUUUUUGCAGGUCUGCCUGCCCGUUGGGGAUGGAGGUCGACAUAUAUAGGAGUCUCCCUAACAACAAGUAGUAAUGCUAUUCCUUUACUCUUCUUGGUCAUAGCCAUGUAGUGGGAGCUGCAAGCUUCACGUGUUUUAACUUUGCCAGAGUACUUUGAAAAAGUGGUCCUGUCGGGGAUCUGGCUCUCGAGAUUCGGAGAGCGGUGCCUCUUCGAUUUUUGAGAAGGCAAUCCUGCUGGGAGUCUGGUUCUUGAGGUCAUAGCAAUGUAGUGGGAGUUGCAAGCUUCACGUGUUUUAACUUUGUCAGAGCACUUUUUUUUUAGAAGACUUUGUCAGAGCACUUUGAAAAAGUGGUCUGUGGUAUCUGGAAAGCUGAUGUUGCGUGUGAAGAUUACAGACAAGCUUUAUCCAAGGAAAUCUGGCUCUUGCGUGUCACGUGCUUUCUACUUCACCAGAAAUCUUCGACAGAUUGCCCGUAAUUUCCGCAAAGCUGAGUGUGCAUGUGACAGGUACUGACAAGGCUGAAAAAGUAGGUGCCUCUUCGAUUUCUAAGAUCGGCCCUCGUGGUUUCUGAGCAAGCCCAGCUUUUGAGAAAGCAAGCGCCGCUUCGAUUUCUGAGAUCAGCUUCUCGACAAAUUGCCCGUGAUUUCUGCAAAGCUAGGUAUGCAUUCUUCGAUUUCUGAGCAGGCUCCUCUUCUAAUAAAGCAGACGCCUCUUCUGAGAAAGCAGGCGCCUCUUCGAUUUCUGAAGCUCCGUCGCGUGCUGCUUUUUAUAGAGGUAUGCAUUACGUUUCAAAGCACACUUGCAUUGCCACAUGUAGAAAUUCCCUUCUUGCACUUCUAAAAUCUUGAUUUGUCUGACCUCUUCUUCAACACCUCAGGAAAAUGGUUGGCCCCUCUGACCGUCGUUUUGACGUGAACUUUGGUGAAUAGGUGGACAUGCCUCCUCAAGACAACAAGGCGCCCAUCCUUCAUAUCCCCUACUGGUCCUCUUAACGUUGGGGAUUCGGUGAUGAAGAAUGAUAUGACCACUACGGUGGUGGCCAGGAACCUUGUCACUCCCAAAGAUAACAGACUACUUUCCAAACGGUCUGAUGAGUUAGCUGUUAAGGAUUCUCUGGCUCUCAGUGUGCAGUGUGCAGGUUCUGUGUCUAAUAUGGCCCAACGCCUAUUUGCUCGAACCCGUCAAGUUGAAUCAUUGGCGGCUGAAGUGAUGAGUCUCAAACAGGAUAUUAGAAGGCUCAAGCAUGAGAAUAAACAGUUACACAGGCUCGCACAUGACUAUGCUACAAACAUGAAGAGGAAGAUUGACCAGAUGCAGGAAUCUGAUGGUCAGAUUUUACUUGAUUAUCAAAGGUUUGUGGGUUUGUUCCAAAGGCAUUUGCUUUCGUCUUCUGGGGCUGUACUGCGUAAUAAAGCUCUAAAUGAUCAACCUCCGAUGCCUCCUCCUUCUAGGGUUCUGUCCAGUACUGAGGCUCCGAAUGAUCACCCUCCGGUGCCUUCUCUUUCUGGGGCUCUACCGACUGCUGAGACUUCUCCUAAGCAACCUUUGUGAAGGCUCCCUCUUGUUUGUUUAUUUUGGCCCAUGUAUAUGUACAUAGUUGUAACUUAUCGGAGAUAUCAAUAAAUAAGCUUUGCUUCAUUUCAACGUAUUGUGUUAAAUACACCAAUGCCUUAUGCACUAAGUUCUUUGAAUUUUUUCUUUUGUUGAAGCUUGUAUGUUGAAGCUUUGUGAGUGAAGCAUGUAGGUUGAGGUAGGGUUCCCUUAAUUUCUCGAGUGAGGAAAACUUCUCGGUUGGAGACUUGAAAAAUCCAAGUCACUGAGUGGGGUCGGCUAUAUGAAUCCUAGAACGCCAUUGUGUUCGGUCUUGUGUCAUGUUCGCCGUUAGAUCCAAGUACUCUAAGUCUUUUCUUAUAGUCUCUUCCAAAGUUUUCCUAGGUCUUCCUCUACCCCUUCGGCCCUGAACCUCUGUCCCGUAGUCGCAUCUUCUAACCGGAGCGUCAGUAGGCCUUCUUUGCACAUGUCCAAACCACCGUAACCGAUUUUCUCUCAGCUUUCCUACAAUUUCGACUACUCCUACUUUACCUCGUAUAUCCUCAUUCCUAAUCUUAUCCUUUCUCGUGUGCCCACACAUCCAACGAAGCAUCCUCAUCUCCGCUACACCCAUUUUAUGUAUGUGUUAAUGCUUCACCGCCCAACAUUCUGUGCCAUACAGCAUCGCUGGCCUUAUUGUUGUCUUAUAAAAUUUUCCCUUGAGCUUCAGUGGCAUACGUCGGUCACACAACACACUGAAUGCAUUCUUCCACUUCAUUCAUCCAGCUUGUAUUCUAUGGUUGAGAUCUCCAUCUAAUUCUCCGUUCUUUUGCAAGAUAGAUCCUAGGUAGCGAAAGCAGUCGCUCUUUGGUAUUUCCUGAUCUCUAAUCCUCACCCCUAACUCAUUUUGGACCCCAUUUGCACUUAACUUGCACUCCAUAUAUUCUGUUUUUGAUCGGCUUAGGCGAAGACCUUUAGAUUCCAACACUUCUCUCCAAAGGUUAAGCUUCGCAUUUACUCCUUCCUGAGUUUCAUCUAUCAACACUAUAUCGUCUGCGAAAAGCAUACACCAAGGAAUAUCAUCUUGAAUAUGUCCUGUUAACUCAUCCAUUACCAACGCAAAAAGGUAAGGACUUAAGGAUGAGCCUUGAUGUAAUCCUACAGUUAUGGGGAAGCUUUCGGUUUGUCCUUCAUGAGUUCUUACGGCAGUCUUUGCUCCUUCAUACAUAUCCUUUAUAGCUUGGAUAUAUGCUACUCGUACUCCUUUCUUCUCUAAAAUCCUCCAAAGAAUGUCUCUUGAGACCCUAUCAUACGCUUUUUCCAAAUCUAUAGAGAUCAUGUGUAAA
This 4404-nucleotide long non-coding RNA is filed under the name Malus domestica (apple). RNAcentral describes it as "long non-coding RNA (MDOM_LNC009443)". The record is from RNAcentral. Lineage: Eukaryota; Viridiplantae; Streptophyta; Magnoliopsida; Rosales; Rosaceae.